RNAcentral lists this unclassified non-coding RNA (346 nucleotides) under soil metagenome. Its description in RNAcentral is "partial contains 5.8S ribosomal RNA, internal transcribed spacer 2, and large subunit ribosomal RNA". The stretch from base 1 to 120 matches the Rfam family "5.8S ribosomal RNA", at positions 35 to 154 of the family's 154-position model. The record is from RNAcentral.
GAUGAAGAACGCAGUGAAAUGCGAUACGUAAUGUGAAUUGCAGAAUUCAGUGAAUCAUCGAGUCUUUGAACGCACAUUGCGCCCCCUGGUAUUCCGGGGGGCAUGCCUGUCCGAGCGUCAUUGCUGCCCUCAAGCACGGCUUGUGUGUUGGGCCUCCGUCCUCCUCCCGGGGGACGGGCCCGAAAGGCAGCGGCGGCACCGCGUCCGGUCCUCGAGCGUAUGGGGCUUCGUCACCCGCUCUUGUAGGCCCGGCCGGCGCUUGCCGACACAUCAAUCUUUUUUCCAGGUUGACCUCGGAUCAGGUAGGGAUACCCGCUGAACUUAAGCAUAUUCAAUAAGCGGAGGA